Tyto alba (common barn owl) is the source of this 832-nucleotide long non-coding RNA. RefSeq lists it as uncharacterized. NCBI's taxonomy places the organism in Eukaryota, Metazoa, Chordata, Aves, Strigiformes, Tytonidae. The record is from RefSeq and is a predicted model, not a curated record. The transcript has 3 exons.
CAGACACCGAGCCGACGGCGUCGCCGGCGUCCUUCCACACCUGUAAAAUGUUAUUUUUUGUUUUGGUUGUUGCUGAUAUUCUCAGUGUACAGAAGGGGCCGACACUGCUGUUCCGACACAAAAAUGACCCGGUUUAGGAGGGGAAGAUGGCAGAGAUGUUUUCAUCAGGGCCUGUGUUCUGUGCAGGGGUGGAAGCAGCGGGAGGUGCAGGUAAAUCUAUGGAAGUCCUCAAAACUACAGCACCGUGAGAGCCAGGAUCACUCUCAGUGAAUGGAUGGGGAAUAAUCCUGGCUCUGUUCCUUUCAGCCGUGCUGUAGCAGCUACAUUUGAUCCUGGAAAUUUCCUCUCCAUUUGGAGACGUGAAAAGGAUUAGAAAUGUUAUGUGCCCGGUUAAAAGGUUAACUUAUAUGAUUUUGCAUGUCUGUGUUGUUUUAAAUGAAUUCACCUAAAUUUCAGAGGUGUCUCAACUAUGUGUCUCUAUUAGGCACCCGGACAGAUUGUCUCAUUGUUUUUUCUAAUUCAGAUCUGUAACUGCCAGAGUGAAUCUUCAUUCAGAUGGAUCACCCCAAACCCGCCCGCUGCUGGCAGGACCUCGGGCUGCCUCUCUGGUUGGAACAGUCCCCUGCAAGACUGACGGCUUAAUCCUGGCUUCUCCCAGCAUUCAAAAAUUGAGCUAGAGCGUCGCUCGUGGCCUCCGCUGCUGCCACCUGCCAAGGUGAAGUUAUUUUAAAAGAUGAGACAGACGCUGUUUCAGUGCGCUCGGGCUGCUGCUCCUGCAGAACCUUCACCCUUCAGUCUCCGGCCAGGGACUCACCCGCUGUUGACUGCAGUC